This 254-nucleotide ribosomal RNA is filed under the name uncultured bacterium. RNAcentral describes it as "partial 16S ribosomal RNA". It matches the Rfam family "Bacterial small subunit ribosomal RNA", at positions 524 to 776 of the family's 1533-position model. The record is from RNAcentral.
UACAGAGGGUGCGAGCGUUGUUCGGAAUUACUGGGCGUAAAGCGCGCGCAGGCGGCUCUUUAAGUCUCGUGGUCAAAUGCCGGGGCUCAACCCCGAGCGUGCCGGGGAUACUGGAGGGCUGGAGACAGGUAGAGGCAAGCGGAAUUCCGGGUGUAGCGGUGGAAUGCGUAGAGAUCCGGAAGAACACCGGAGGCGAAGGCGGCUUGCUGGACCUGGUCUGACGCUGAGGCGCGAAAGCGUGGGGAGCGAACAGG